Brassica napus (rape) is the source of this 907-nucleotide long non-coding RNA. RefSeq lists it as uncharacterized. The transcript has 3 exons. The record is from RefSeq and is a predicted model, not a curated record. NCBI's taxonomy places the organism in Eukaryota, Viridiplantae, Streptophyta, Magnoliopsida, Brassicales, Brassicaceae.
AGUUCUGUUGGCAUGACACGUGUCCCGCUGUGCCAAAACGUAUCGUAUCAUAUUUUAAAAAAAACCGGUUGGGCUUUUCUUCAUAAUUAGGGUGUGUUGUUUGCUUUAGUAAGCCCAGUCCCAUAGAUCUUAUAUUUUGAAACGCGUCGUUUUUGAUUUUUUGGUUUCAUCCCUCUCUCUUCUCUGCCGUAACAAUUCUAUGGUUGCGUUCGAGUUUCCAUCUUCUUCCUACAGAUCUAGAAAUCGCCAGUUACCGAUUCAUUCCUAUUAAAUUUCUUCAUUAAUCCAUUGUACACGAUCUCUCUUCAAUGCCAUCUAUGCUCUUGGAAAGCGGUGGAGAUUCGACUAUAAAAAGUUGAGGUUAGGUCGUUGGGUUUCUGGGAGGUGAGUAAUAUUAGGCGCGGUGAUGAACUCAUGUAUGUCCAUAUGCUUUUGCUUGAUUCAAAUGUGAGUUCCGUUUUUGAAGCAAAUGUGUCUAAGGCAAGGAGGAUGAAUUAGAGGGAGAAGAAAGUGAGAUAGAGUCGGAUGGAGUUAAGACCAAAUUUUUUUUUUCGUUCUCAAAAUUAGACAAAGUUGUUAUUAUUAUUUUGCUGUAUCUAUAUUUGACGGUCUUUGUGGACCAAGUUAAGAAUAAAGCUUCUGCUGGUGUGUCAAUGGUAAACACAAAAGAAAAAAGAUUUGAAGAGAUUUGGAAAACAAAUAGUUUUUGCAAGACUUAUGAUGGUAAGUCGUAGAGACGCAAAGUAUUGUCUUUGCAAGAGCACAACAAAACUGGCUUGGCUUCUGCAUCAUGCACACCUCAUAAAACUAACACUCCCUGAAUAUUCAGUUAUUAACAGAAGUUGUUAGUUACAUUACAUAUAAGAUUAGGACCAAAAGUGAGAGGAUAACACGUUUAACAAGAAAC